AAAGGAAUUGACGGGGGCCCUUCCCCUCUUCUUCCCCUUUUUUUUCCUUCUCUUCUCCGCGAGGAACCUUACCUGGGCUUAAAUGUAGAGUGCAUUUUCUCGAGAUAGAAAUUCCCUUCGGGGCUUUCUGCAAGGUGCUGCAUGGUUGUCGUCAGCUCGUGCCGUGAGGUGUCGGGUUAAGUCCCCUAACGAGCGCAACCCUUAUCGUUAGUUGCCAGCUGGUAAAGCAGGGGACUCUAGCGAAACUGCCACCGUAAGGUGAGAGGAAGGUGGGGAUGACGUCAAAUCAGCACGGCCCUUAUGUCCAGGGCUACACACGUGUUACAAUGGCCGGUACAGAGGGCUGCUACCUGGUGACAGGAUGCUAAUCUCGAAAACCGGUCUCAGUUCGGAUCGAAGUCUGCAACUCGACUUCGUGAAGCCGGAUUCGCUAGUAAUCGCGCAUCAGCAACGGCGCGGUGAAUACGUUCCCGGGCCUUGUACACACCGCCCGU
This 494-nucleotide ribosomal RNA is filed under the name uncultured bacterium. RNAcentral describes it as "bacterial SSU rRNA". It matches the Rfam family "Bacterial small subunit ribosomal RNA", at positions 903 to 1397 of the family's 1533-position model. The record is from RNAcentral.